UGGCCCUCCAGUCGCUCAGUCCUGUCCUGGACUUCCCGGGUCCCAUUCACCAACCUCCCUGCGGGGAGAAAGUCAGGAGCCUGCUUGAGUGGGAAGGGAAGACCUACAGGGAGAAAGCAAAUUGAUAACUUCAAAACAUUCCGCCACUUUGAUUCUGAAACUCCUAACUUGUUUUUCCGUUUGGUGCAUGUUUUCGAAUAGGCACAGUCAACACCAGUCCUCACAUGACGAACAGAGAGUAUAACUGGAAGAGAAAAGAGGAGUCGGAAGCUGGACUCCAUUAUAGAAAACGAUAAUAACGGUGCUUACUGUGAUAAGUGAAGUCAGUCAGGUUCAAGACCAAGCCAGCAUCCUGGCUCAAGGGCUGAAGGAUUAUCUGAUGAGAAGUUUACUUAGAAGCUGCUGAAACGGUUCACUGCUGCAUUUAUUUUAUAAGCAGUCGGUGGGCUGCUACAAAAGUUCCCGUUUGGAGUAGCUGCAUGAUACCUGAGCGGUUUAAAAAUUCCUCAGGAUGAGGUAGCCCCAGACUCAUGGCCUGCCAAGUGAAACGCUGCAUGCAGCUGACAGCAAGUCACAGUAGAACACAGGUUGUUAAGAGCACCAUACAAUAUAUUGUCAUCUAAAGCAUAGAACCUAUAAUUUUGAUUUGUGAUAUUGGUAGAAUUAGUGCCCUGCUAACAUUUUCUAAAGUUACUCCCUUCCUCCCCAAUUCAGUAACUACUGAAAAAAAAAAAAAAAUGGAACGAUGUCCCAUAAUCUCAGUUACUGAAAGCAAAGCUGAGAAGUUAACAGGCUUACAUUCCAUAGUACACUGUUUGAUACUCUUUUUGUUUUAUUUUUAAAAGUCAAAUAAAGUUGAAUUUUAUGCUGUGUUUACCAGAAUCCAUUGUUUCCCUACAACAAAACUUUGGAGGAACGCAAGACCCUCUGCUCUAGGGAAAACCACAAGAGGAGGAGGAACAAG
This is a long non-coding RNA of Phyllostomus discolor (pale spear-nosed bat), 964 nucleotides long. RefSeq lists it as uncharacterized. The record is from RefSeq and is a predicted model, not a curated record. NCBI's taxonomy places the organism in Eukaryota, Metazoa, Chordata, Mammalia, Chiroptera, Phyllostomidae. The transcript is spliced from 2 exons.